RNAcentral lists this ribosomal RNA (598 nucleotides) under Claviceps spartinae. RNAcentral's name for it is "eukaryotic LSU rRNA". It matches the Rfam family "Eukaryotic large subunit ribosomal RNA", at positions 1 to 608 of the family's 3401-position model. Lineage: Eukaryota; Fungi; Ascomycota; Sordariomycetes; Hypocreales; Clavicipitaceae. The record is from RNAcentral.
UUGACCUCGAAUCAGGUAGGAAUACCCGCUGAACUUAAGCAUAUCAAUAAGCGGAGGAAAAGAAACCAACAGGGAUUGCCCCAGUAACGGCGAGUGAAGCGGCAACAGCUCAAAUUUGAAAUCUGGCCCCUUGGGGCCCGAGUUGUAAUUUGUAGAGGAUACUUUUGGCGAGGCGCCUUCCGAGUUCCCUGGAACGGGACGCCAUAGAGGGUGAGAGCCCCGUCUGGUUGGAUGCCGAGCCUCUGUAAAGUUCCUUCGACGAGUCGAGUAGUUUGGGAAUGCUGCUCUAAAUGGGAGGUAUAUGUCUUCUAAAGCUAAAUAUAGGCCAGAGACCGAUAGCGCACAAGUAGAGUGAUCGAAAGAUGAAAAGCACUUUGGAAAGAGGGUUAAAAAGUACGUGAAAUUGUUGAAAGGGAAGCGCUUGUGACCAGACGUGGGCCUGUCGGAUCAUCCAGCGUUCUCGCUGGUGCACUCCGGCGGGCUCAGGCCAGCAUCAGCUCGUCCCGGGGGACAAAGGCAGCGGGAAUGUGGCUCCUUCGGGAGUGUUAUAGCCCGCUGUGUAAUGCCCUGGGGCGGGCUGAGGUUCGCGCAUCUGCAU